This 802-nucleotide ribosomal RNA is filed under the name uncultured organism. Its description in RNAcentral is "bacterial SSU rRNA". It matches the Rfam family "Bacterial small subunit ribosomal RNA", at positions 216 to 1013 of the family's 1533-position model. The record is from RNAcentral.
CGUUUGGAGAUGAGCUCGCGUACCAUUAGCUGGUUGGUAAGGUAACGGCUUACCAAGGCGACGAUGCCUAGGGGUUCUGAGAGGAUGACCCCCCAUACUGGUACUGAGACACGGACCAGACUCCUACGGGACGCAGCACUGAAGAAUAUUGGUCAAUGGGCGAGAGCCUGAACCAGGCAUCCCGCGUGAAGGAAGACUGCCCUAUGGGUUGUAGACUUCUUUUCUGCACCUAGAACGUGCCCUACGUGUAGGGCAGUGACGGUCGUGCAGGAAUAAGCCUCGGCUAACUCCGUGCCAGCAGCCGCGGUCAUACUGAGGAUGCGAGCGUUCUCCGGAUUCAUUGGGUUUACAGGGUGCGUAGGCGGCUUCUUAAGUCAGUGGUGAAAUCCUGCGGCUCAACCGUAGAACUGCCAUUGAACACUGGGGGGCUUGAAUACCGAUGGAGUAGGCGGACUGAGUAGUGUAGCGGUGACAUGCAUCGAUAUUACUCAGAACACCGAUUGCGUAGGCAGCUUACUAAACUGAUAUUGACGCUGAGGCCCGAAAGCGUGGGGAGCGAACAGGAUUCGAUACCCUGGUAGUCCACGCAGUAAACGAUGUUCACUCGCUGUUUGCGAUAUACAGUAAGCGGCUUAGCGAACGCAUUAAGUGAACCACCUGGGGAGUACGUCGGCAACGGUGAAUACUCAAAGGAAUUGACGGGGGCCUGCACAACCGGAGGUACAUGUCGGUUUAAUUCGAUGAUACGCGAGGAACCUUACCUGGGCUUAAAUGUACGGUUGCAUGAGGUGGAAACACCCUU